RNAcentral lists this ribosomal RNA (497 nucleotides) under uncultured bacterium. RNAcentral describes it as "partial 16S ribosomal RNA". It matches the Rfam family "Bacterial small subunit ribosomal RNA", at positions 28 to 507 of the family's 1533-position model. The record is from RNAcentral.
GAUGAACGCUGGCGGCGUGCCUAAUACAUGCAAGUCGAGCGAACAGACGAGGAGCUUGCUCCUCUGACGUUAGCGGCGGACGGGUGAGUAACACGUGGAUAACCUACCUAUAAGACUGGGAUAACUUCGGGAAACCGGAGCUAAUACCGGAUAACAUGUUGAACCGCAUGGUUUAACAGUGAAAGACGGUCUUGCUGUCACUUAUAGAUGGAUCCGCGCCGCAUUAGCUAGUUGGUAAGGUAACGGCUUACCAAGGCAACGAUGCGUAGCCGACCUGAGAGGGUGAUCGGCCACACUGGAACUGAGACACGGUCCAGACUCCUACGGGAGGCAGCAGUAGGGAAUCUUUCGCAAUGGGCGAAAGCCUGACGGAGCAACGCCGCGUGAGUGAAGAAGGUCUUCGGAUCGUAAAACUCUGUUAUUAGGGAAGAACAAAUGUGUAAGUAACUAUGCACGUCUUGACGGUACCUAAUAAGAAAGCCACGGCUAACUACGUG